Non-coding RNA from Pelobates cultripes (western spadefoot toad), 1172 nucleotides. The record is from the annotation of a GenBank genome assembly. Lineage: Eukaryota; Metazoa; Chordata; Amphibia; Anura; Pelobatidae.
CCUGUGUAACAGCACAACAGCACAACUUGCUCAAGCAGAUCAACCAUCACUAAACAUGGGAAAGGUAAGAUGGCCUGAAUAUUUUAAACAUUUCUAACAAAAUAAAUAUUGGAAACAGAUUAUUAAAAUAAAAUAGUUGCUAUUUCAAAGAAAAGCUUUUUAAACAGGCUGAUAAUAGAUUUAAUAUUUUCAGGGAUUUUUAUACGUUUUUGUAAUGUAACUCAUUUUUAUCUGAUACAUUUAAUAGGGAUUGCAGUGUGAAAUGAUAAAGUAUUAGCAACUAAACCAAUAAUAAGAUUAAAAAUCUAUAAUGUUCAAAUGCAUAAUGUUUUUCACAGAUUGUCUUCUACGAGGAGCGUAACUUCCAGGGCCGCUCUUAUGAGUGCAACUCUGAGUGUCCAGAUAUGUCCUCAUAUUUUCAUCACUGUAAUUCCAUCCGGGUGGAAAGUGGAAACUGGAUCCUGUAUGAGCACCCCAACUAUAGAGGACACCAGUAUUACCUUAGCAGGGGAGAAUAUCCUAAUUUCCAGCAAUGGAUGGGUUUUAACGACUCCAUCAGAUCUUGUCAUAUUAGUCCACAGGUAAAUAUAUUUUUACCUGAGCAGUUAAAAAUGUUACAAAAUGUUAAAGAUGCAGUGUAAAAACAUUAUUGAAGUGUAUCAAUUAUUUUAUGGAAUAUUUCUUCAACUCACAAUUCACUUAUCUGGAAACAGGUAGGUUAAUUUCAAUAAAAACUAUAGUCUUAGUAUAGAUGUUUAAUUUUUACAUGAAAUUAUGCAAAAGUUAUAAUGUGAUUUAUGAAUUACAUAUCAUUUUUUUAAUCCUCUUAAAGCACCAUGGUUCAUUCAGAGUAAAGGUCUACGAGAGGGAGGAUUUCCGAGGUCAGAUGAUGGAGUUCACUGAAGAUUGCCCUAACGUCUAUGAGAGAUUCCGUCACCAUGACAUCCACUCCUGCCAUGUGUUUGAUGGUCACUGGAUGUUCUAUGAGGAACCAAAUUACAGGGGCCGCCAGUAUUACCUGAGACCUGGAGAGUACAGAAGAUAUACCGACUGGAGUGCCAUGAGCCCAAGAAUUGGCUCAUUCAGAAGACUUCACCAUUUCUAAUAAAUUGUAUUAAUUUAUAAAUCAGAAUGUAGUUUAGAAUAAAAUAAAAGCUUCAAAAAAUUAUAAA